GAUGAAGAACGCAGUGAAAUGCGAUAAGUAAUGCGAAUUGCAGAAUUUCCGUGAGUCAUCGAAUCUUUGAACGCACAUUGCGCCCACUGGUAUUCCGGUGGGCAUGCCUGUUCGAGCGUCAUUAUCCUCCCUCAAACCUCGGGUUUGGUGUUGGACCCAAGUUGUGUGAACAACUGGUCUCAAAGACAAUGACGGCGUCCGUGGGACCCUCGGUGCAACGAGCUUUUAAACGAGCACGCGUCGAGUUUCAAGGACCUUCCGGGCCGGUCUCCUUCUUUUAUUUACAAAGGUUGACCUCGGAUCAGGUAGGAAUACCCGCUGAACUUAAGCAUAUCAAUAAGCGGAGGA
RNAcentral lists this unclassified non-coding RNA (348 nucleotides) under soil metagenome. RNAcentral describes it as "partial contains 5.8S ribosomal RNA, internal transcribed spacer 2, and large subunit ribosomal RNA". The stretch from base 1 to 121 matches the Rfam family "5.8S ribosomal RNA", at positions 35 to 154 of the family's 154-position model. The record is from RNAcentral.